RNAcentral lists this ribosomal RNA (433 nucleotides) under uncultured bacterium. RNAcentral describes it as "partial 16S ribosomal RNA". It matches the Rfam family "Bacterial small subunit ribosomal RNA", at positions 39 to 507 of the family's 1533-position model. The record is from RNAcentral.
GGGGGGGGGGGGGGGGGGGGCGGGGGGGGGGGGGGCGGGCGGGGCGGUGGGGUGGGGGGGCGCGGGGGGGGGUGGCGGGGGGGGACCUGCCCUUAGGUUCGGAAGACCUGCGCGAAGGGGUGGCUAAUACCGGCUAAUGUCUUCGGAGCACAGUUUUCUCGCCUUUGGAUGGGCCCGCGUUGGAUUAGCGAGUUGGUAGGGUAAAAGCCUACCAAGGCGACGAUCCAUAGCUGGGCUGAGAGGAUGAUCAGCCACACUGGGACUGAGACACGGCCCAGACUCCUACGGGAGGCAGCAGUGGGGAAUAUUGGACAAUGGGCGAAAGCCUGAUCCAGCAAUGCCGCGUGAGUGAUGAAGGCCUUAGGGUUGUAAAGCUCUUUUACCCGGGAUGAUAAUGACAGUACCGGGAGAAUAAGCUCCGGCUAACUCCGUG